Molecule: ribosomal RNA, 3907 nt
Filed under: Triticum aestivum (bread wheat)
Lineage: Eukaryota; Viridiplantae; Streptophyta; Magnoliopsida; Poales; Poaceae
Description: partial small subunit ribosomal RNA
Source: RNAcentral
GAUCGAAUGUUCCGCCGAGCAGACGCGCAAUGGUCUGCCAAUUUUCUUCCUCCGCGUUCCCGAUCCCCGCCCUCGAUUCCGUAAUUUCCGGAUAGAUUCCACGGGAAUCGUGGCUCCCCGAUUGUUUUUCCUUUAGGCCCCGGAUCAGAAAGAACGGAUCCGCAGCAACCUUGCGCCGCCAAGGAGUGGGUGAUAGCAGCGGUGGAAGAGGGCGUGGGUACCAAGGGGCCGACGACGACGACGGUCGUGGCCGAGGACGGGCCAAACAAGGCGGCGGCCGUGAGGGUGGAGGCCGCGCCCGUGGCUACAAAGGGGUUCGUGAUGGCGGACGCGGCUGAGGCUAUCAACAGGGCGGCAACGACUACGGCGGCCGCGGUGGGCGCAACAACUACAGCGGCCGCGGCCGGGCCAGAGUCAACCGCCCCGGACAUGCAUCAAGCCACGGGGCCUCCCCUCUCCGAGCGCUACCACGCAGAGGCGGCUCAGCUCCGGGAGAAGUUCCACGCGAUGGACAUCAGCCGUGUGGCUGUAGAUCCAACCGACCGGCGAUGGAGCAGCUGUCAGCGUUCCUCCGCGCGGCACCAGGUUCCGUUGCACCUCCUCCAUUGUGCUCUCCCUGCCCCGCGGUCCCUACCAGAAGCCUUGCCAGCCGCAGUCUCCCAGAUCCUCCUCUCUACGCGUCUCUGCUUCCCGUGCGACGUCGCCGGCUUCACGAUCUCCACCACGAUGGGCGUCACGAGCCCAAGGGAGCGCGUCGAGACCAUGGCGAUAAUGCUUCCCUUCCUACCGUCGUUGCCGCGUUCCGCCAAUUGCGGCAGGAAGCCAUGGCGCAGGCAGAGAAGUCGCCUGUCGAGUAGGCGGCUUCAGCUGCAACACCGGAUAAGUGACCCCUCCGUCAUAAGAUGAGGUUCUUCAGUUACACACCUGCAGCUUAAACAAAAUUCAUUUCUAUUUUUGCAGAUUUUGAAUUCAGUGUAGUAGAGAACACCCACAAAAUCUUCACAAGGAUUCAUGAACUCACUUUCCAAUGGAAGAAAUGUGAUGUUCAAUUAGCAUUAACCCGAUUGAUCUCUUGCCUGGGGAAGGGGAGACUGAGGGGGAAAUGGCGACCAAGAGGAGCGUGGGCACCCUGGGCGACAAGGACCUCAGGGGGAAGAAGGUGUUCCUUCGUGCCGAUCUGAACAUUCUGCUGGACGACAGCCAGAACAUCACCGACGACAAUUGCAUCCGCGCCUCCGUGUUGUCCAUCAAGUUCCUCAUGGCGAAGGGUGCCAAGGCCAUCCUGGCCAACCAUCUGGUGAGCACGCGCUUCUCGAUUUGUGUCUAUGGCGUUUUACUGACGAAUUUGUGCCGCUUGAGCUUAGAGUGUCAGAUGGGGGACUUGCUGUCAGUCCUCUGUUCAUCCACUAAUCUCUUGGGAGUGAAGGGAAGAAGAAAGAAAAUACUUUCAGCUAAUAGUUGUAUGUUCCGUAGCCUGUUAGCAUUGUGCUUAAAAAUCAUAGUAACAAAAAUAGUGAGGAUUAACUUAGAAUUGCAUUUUCUUUGAUUGUUUGUUACCUUUCUACUCAGAAACAUACAGAACAGAGUCCGCUGUGCAGUUCAUGUCAAUUGCUUUUGUAUAUGUCGAUUAGUCAUUACAGUAAUUUGUAAAACAGUUUGUUCAAAUGGCUCCUGCCGCUUGCCAUGCCUCACCCGCCGGCCCGUUCGCCACUAGCCUCGGCCCCCGCCCACUCGCCUCUCCUGUGGCAUACGGUGCCCGACCCGGCUCUGUUUGUCUGCCUCCCUCGUGUUACUCGUCAGUCGGCCCCGCCAUUCAGCCUAUCGCGUGGCACAUGGCUGUAGCCGCUUGAUGUCGGGAGCAACACCACGGGAUGGCCCUGCCGCACCUUCAUCGCAGAGUCACCGGUAAAUUCCUUGCUUUCUGUUCUCACAAAGGCAAUUUCAAGUCUUGUGCGUUUUUAUUUGAUACCCGUGUGCCAAAAACUGAAGUCUAUGUGGUACGACUGGAAUUCCUGUUAAGUUCAUAUAUUGCAAUUCUGAAACUGAAUUUUGUGUCUGUAGUUAUUCUAAUGUCCCUCGGUUCAACUCGGUGUAUUUACUUCUCAUGUUGAACUGAUGUGUGAUACUGGAUCUUGUGUACUUUCAACAGCCUUGCAAUUUUCGUUAGGAUUUGGUGCGUGUGCAUUUUCACAUAAUUUCUAACAAUCCAGUUCACCUUUUAGUUGCAGAAGACUAACCAACUAGGCGCACAUCGAUCCAUUUGUGUAUGCUAGCCUCCUCCUCUGCAUUUGCAGGCCGCCGAGUCCAACUCCGCUGCGGCGUAGAUCACCCGCCCGCCACGCUGCGCAACUCACGAUGCAGCUGGCCCUCCUCCGCAGCAAGGCUGUCUUCACGCUUAUCGACAUUAGUUUAAUUCAGAGUCUAUUUCGGUGUGUUUGGAGUGGAUGGUAAGAUGAUGUACUCAAAUACAAUGAGAAGAGCAGGCAUAUCCACUGGGUGGUACCUUUUUCCGUAAUAAAGUGGUGGUGGUGCUAAUUAACUAUGGGCUCUUAGUUUGAUUCAGACUCUAUAGGUGCACUGCAUGCACUUUAGUACAUAGCAAAUUCGCAAACAAAAUUUAACUUUUUGUUCAUCUGUGUGAACUUCCUUUGCAUAUAUGCUGAUAACAGUUUAACUUCAAAAUGAAAAGAGAAUCCAAUCCAUACUGUGCUAUAGUAAUUUUUAGUGUCAACUAAUUCAAGAGUACUUGAAAUCUGAUGGGAGUACUGAUUGUGCAUCAUUUUCGACUAAUCUUCUUAACUGAGACCAAAUUUAAAUGCCCUAGAGGCCUUAACACUAAGAUGGCUUAAUCCUUUCAGCAUCUAACAAUUAUUAUAAAAAAAACUGAGAAGACUCCACCUAUGGUGAAGAAUGGAUGAGUCUGUUAGAAACUCGAUCGUUUUCUUGUUUCAGUAUUGUCCGCAUCUUUGUUUCAUGAAGAUUCUAUUCUGUAUUUUUAUGUCACAUUUGAAGGUGUUGGCAAGUAGGUGGCUCUACAUCUUGCCAAUUCAAUUUCUAAUAGGCAUGAGCCCCCUGUAUUCUGGACAACUAAGGACACAUGCAUAAUUACUUGAUCAUGUAGCAAUUCUAAGUGAGACGCAUGCAUUUAGAUUGGAUGUUGAAGCGAGCCCGCCAUUUUAUUACUCUGAGAGAACUAUACAGUGAUAUUUGGCUCUUGCUUUCAGUAUUAGAGAAUCAUAGAAACUGAACUGCAGGGCUUACUAUAGUUUUAUGUGACAUUCCUCUAUGCCAUCAUGCCAUACUGUUUAUUUUGAGCAACCUUUCUAUUGUAUUUUGUUGGACAAUUUUUAGUGUAAUGUCUAGCACCUCAAUAUACAGUAAAUAAGUGCAAGUAUUUGAUUUUCUCAUGUUGUAUUCAUUUUCUUUGCUCUGCUACUGUAGCAAUCAAAUAGAAUCACGCACAAGCUCCAGUUAGUCCUGUGCAAAACUGAUGUAGAAGUGUGGACUAUGGACUCCUUAUUUUUCUGUUUCAGGCUUAGGAUCAUAGGGAAAAGUGUGGACUAUGGAUUCAUACCAGAACUGGAUUGGCCAUGGCACAUCUUCACCAACGAGUCAUGGUGUCGGCAACAAAAUUCAAGAUUUCCCGUUUCCUUCAUUUUCAAGCAUCUCUCUUAAAGGCAAUGUAUGCAGGUUCAUCAUUCAUGCGAGGGAUAUGAAAGGUGAAACAAAAGUAAAAGGUGUUUAUCAUAAUUGUAAAGGAGUGUCGUGUCGAUUUUAUAAGUCCAUUAGUAUCCUACUACUCGCAGUUUUUGUAGUUCAAUCAAAUAGUACAAUUUUCAAAUGAUAUUUGUUAUGGUUAGAUAUAAAUAUUUUAACAUUUUGAGGUUCCGUGAGAUGAGAUGAUGGC